Molecule: ribosomal RNA, 253 nt
Filed under: uncultured bacterium
Lineage: Bacteria
Description: partial 16S ribosomal RNA
Rfam family: Bacterial small subunit ribosomal RNA
Source: RNAcentral
CACGUAGGGCGCGAGCGUUGUCCGGAAUUAUUGGGCGUAAAGAGCUCGUAGGCGGCCUGUUGCCUCCGCUGUGAAAGCCCCGGGCUUAACCUGGGAACGGCAUUUGAAACUGGCAGGCUGGAGUACGGCAGAGGGGGGUGGAAUUCCACGUGUAGCAGUGAAAUGCGUAGAGAUGUGGAGGAACACCGAUGGCGAAGGCAGCCCCCUGGGCCGAUACUGACGCUCAGGCACGAAAGCGUGGGGAGCAAACAGG